Long non-coding RNA from Symphalangus syndactylus (siamang), 1574 nucleotides. RefSeq lists it as uncharacterized. The record is from RefSeq and is a predicted model, not a curated record. NCBI's taxonomy places the organism in Eukaryota, Metazoa, Chordata, Mammalia, Primates, Hylobatidae.
AAUUUUAGGGUAUUUUCACACACACUUGAGUCAGGUUUAUUUUUUGACUAUAUGAGACACUAACAUGCUUCCAAGAGUCAAAAGAUUACAGAAAAUUAUGAUCAGAAAAUUUGCAAGAGAAUGUCGUAUACCAGGACACACUCAAAUGAUAGAAUGGAAGUAUGAUCCAGGAAGUCUAACAUGAUGGAGAGCCCACCUUGGGGACGCUAGGAAGAAGCGGUCCAUGAUAUUCCCCAACUUUGGAAUUUUCUGUCAAGGUUGCAGAAGCCCUACAAGCUUUCACUAAAAGAUUACACUGCCAGGGGUUGACUAUUUGAUGUGCUGGUGGUCACUUUUUCCAUUGGAGAUCCGCAAACUCUGAAACUUAAACGAUUUAACUAUAAACACACAGCAAAUGAUGAAAAGAUAGCAGUCACCUCAGCUGAAAUUUGGCGGAAGUAAAAAGUACUUCUUUGGGUCCUCUGAGGAAGCUUCUGGUGUGAGAUGCAAACACUCUGAACUCCAGGGGCCAAGCUCUAUUUCAUGCCAACAAAGGAAAAAAAAAAAGUUACUCAACACCCAGAAGGCAGAAAAGCGACCUCUCUCUCUCCAUCUGCAGAAGCCAAGCAAGAGUGUGGGCCUCCGUAUGCAUCCUUUCUUUUACUCACUUUCUAAAUGCUGUAACGGCUACCAUCUAUCAGGUGGUCACAAACCAUCUCUAAAGUCAAUCUGAGGUCAACCCACUCGACUUGUGAAGGAUCCACCUAUACUGCCUCUGCACCUGUAAUAUGACUAAGGAGACGGUGGCUGCACACGUAGUUAACACCGACUGUACUGUGACUCCGACUUUCUGCAGCAGCUCUCCGGCUCUUUAGAAUCCUUUUGAGCCAAGCUGGACGUGAGGCCUAAAGGAGCUCUUUGCAAACGCCAGGGGGAAUUUCUUCAGGGUUAACUUAACUUUCAAUUGGCUUCAUUCUAAGAGAAAUAUGUGGAGCAAACAGGAACUUUUUUUCUCAUCUUUUGCAUUUCAAGCAAAAACUAAUAAUAAAAUUAGAUGUUUCCACUGUCAGGCUCAGUCUCAAAGAUGCCAGCAGAUCCCGCUUCUAACUUUUAACACAGGCACGCAGGAAAUCGGGAAAUCCCUGCAGCUCCCUCAGAAGCUACAGUAUCAGCAGUUCCUGAAGCACAAGCCAAAACCCAACAUCGCGUACUCCUCCAAAGAGCUCAGCCUUUCUGUUGAGAGACGGAAAUAGCGGCGAGGUGCUCUGGAAGCCAUGACAGCCUGGCCGAAAUGAACCAGGUCCCCUCCUGGUCGAGCCUACCCCCCUAGGGACAAGAAACGUACCUCUCUUCCCUCAUACCCAGAGGAAGCAACGGAGGGAUGUGGCGCUUAGACUCACUCUACCAUCCAGUCCAUCGAAGUCCUAAUAAUCUUCAAGAUGCAACAGAGCGAGACUCCGUCUCAAAAACAAAACAACCCUAAGGAAGAGAGAGAAUGUACUGGAGGAUAGGAAGUAUCUAGGAGAGCCUUCUUUUUUUUUUCUUGUAUUUAAAUUUAAGCCUUCAUUUAUAUAAAAUAAAACGCAUGAAACCUA